GCAUAUCAAUAAGCGGAGGAAAAGAAACCAACAGGGAUUGCCUUAGUAACGGCGAGUGAAGCGGCAACAGCUCAAAUUUGAAAUCUGGCCUCUUCGGGGUCCGAGUUGUAAUUUGGAGAGGAUGUUUCGGGCACGGUCCGGGCUUAAAUUUCUUGGAACAGAAUGUCACAGAGGGUGAGAAUCCCGUCUGGAGCUCGGACACGGCCUGUGUGAAACUCCUUCGACGAGUCGAGUUGUUUGGGAAUGCAGCUCUAAAUGGGUGGUAAAUUUCAUCUAAAGCUAAAUAUUGGCCAGAGACCGAUAGCGCACAAGUAGAGUGAUCGAAAGAUGAAAAGCACUUUGAAAAGAGAGUUAAACAGUACGUGAAAUUGUUGAAAGGGAAGCGCUGGCAACCAGACUUGCGCGUCGGGGUUCCCCCUUGCUUCUGCCUGGGUUACUCCCCGGCGUUCAGGCCAACAUCGGUUUCGGGGGUUGGUUAAAGGCCCUGGGAAUGUACCUACCCUCCGGGGUAGACUUAUAGCCCAGGGUGUCAUGCGACCUCCCGGGACCGAGGAACGCGCUUCGGCUCGGAUGUUGGCGUAAUGGUUGUCAGCGACCCGUCUUGAAA
RNAcentral lists this ribosomal RNA (607 nucleotides) under Cyphellophora pluriseptata. Its description in RNAcentral is "partial large subunit ribosomal RNA". It matches the Rfam family "Eukaryotic large subunit ribosomal RNA", at positions 38 to 659 of the family's 3401-position model. The record is from RNAcentral. Lineage: Eukaryota; Fungi; Ascomycota; Eurotiomycetes; Chaetothyriales; Cyphellophoraceae.